UUUAAAUGGAUUCAACGCCGGAAAAUCACCAGGGGCGACUCCACAUGAAAGCCAAGCUGAUGACUUUGCCCGAUUGGUAAAGAAGUGGUGCAUUGCCGUCGUCAGUUCGUUCCGUAAGGCGUUCUGUUAAAUCAGAUAACGAACCAAACCCUUGCCCAUAAAUGCUACCUACCCUCCGGGGGCAGAGGACUUUAUGGGGACCGCUGGUGCUAAAUCAGAGGAAGGAAAGGGCAACGGUAGGUCAGUAUGCCCCGAAUCCCCUGGGCAACACGCGCGCUACAAAGGCCGGGACAAAGGGUUCCGACCCCGAGAGGGGUAGGCAAUCCCGAAACCCGUCCGUAGUUCGGAUCGAGGGCUGCAACCCGCCCUCGUGAAGUUGGAUUCCGUAGU
RNAcentral lists this ribosomal RNA (390 nucleotides) under uncultured euryarchaeote. RNAcentral's name for it is "bacterial SSU rRNA". It matches the Rfam family "Archaeal small subunit ribosomal RNA", at positions 901 to 1295 of the family's 1478-position model. Lineage: Archaea; Methanobacteriati; Methanobacteriota. The record is from RNAcentral.